Molecule: long non-coding RNA, 1509 nt
Organism: Eriocheir sinensis (Chinese mitten crab)
Lineage: Eukaryota; Metazoa; Arthropoda; Malacostraca; Decapoda; Varunidae
Exons: 4
Source: RefSeq, a predicted model, not a curated record
UCCGCGAUAAGGACGUACCGCCGCUGAUAAGAUACCUGAUCAGUGCCAGUUGAGCGGUGGCCUAGAGUGAGGACGAGUGCCCGUACAGGAGCCUUACAUAGUUUGUCCUGUUGAAGUGUAUAUCGAAAGACCGCCACCAUGGGUUACGACAUGGACGACAAGCCGCGAGUGGGCCAAGUGCCGCUGCUCAUCUUCGCCUACCUGGGCUUUUCACUGUUCGUGUCAGGCUUCAUCAUGACAGUGUUGGCCUACGCCCCGACCGACUCUUACCUUAUGGUCAUGAUUCAGAGCAUGGGCGUCAUGGGCUUCCUCGGACCCAUCGUCCUUGUUAUCGGCAGCAUCUUGCUGCUCGUGUCAAUAUUCUACUGCCUUUGCACUUCCAACGCUGACGACUAUGACGACUAUGGCCAGUGAUGGACAACCUUGCCGAAGCUACUUUGAUUUUGGAGCUAAAUAAGGGUGAAACUAUGUGCACAUACCAUAAAUAAGUAAGCAAUACAUGAAGUUAUGUUCAGAAAACUCAAGCUACUCUUGAGAACAUCAUCAUGCUUACUCAUAGCAAACCAAACGUCUUGUUCCAGUAGAUUCAUGGGCCCUCAAAAAUGACUCUUUGUAUCCCAGCAUUUUCCACAUUAAAAACUGCUACACUUUGAAAGUAUAGUUUGUGGCAGAUGGAUUAGUAAUUUCCAAGACAAAAUAACAAUAAUAAUAAUUAAUAAUAAUAAAUCAAAAUAAAAUUGACAGCUUAGUUAAUUCUUGAUAACUACUCUAUGGAAAGUUUUGUCUGUUCACAUGAAACUUAAAUUAGCUUUAUAGUCAUCUGAUACUUAUUUUUAGUGACAAAUGUUAUGUAGUAUUGUAAUAGUAUAUAUGUUCAGUGAUGUUCAUGUGCUGGUCCAUUCUAAACUUUAGAUUAAAGGAAAUGUAUAGUUGAUUAUGGCGAAUGUUAUUUUUACAAUAUUUUUUUAUAAGCUAUGUUACAGUACACUAUUAGGUAAUAGCUUUAAGUACAAGAGACAUAUCCCUAAAGGUGGGCUUUGUUCAGGAAGAAUAUUAAACAAACUUGGGGAGUCUUUUCUAAUAUAACUCAGAUUUUUUUUAAUGAAAUUAUUCUUUAAAAUCAACACAAAAUGGUUUCAAGCUGAUAAGUUUCUUCUUCACAGAGAUAAUAUGGGAUCCUUAUUGUGGGCAAAUUGUUAAACAUUGUACUGUUACGCUCAUACGUAGCCUAUACCACAAGUAUAAAAGUAUGGUAAUCUGAAAGCAGAGUUAUAAUCCAAUAAUAUAUACCAAUGCUGGAGUGAAAUUUUACAUUCUGGAGAGUUCACCACUGGGGUGGACUGUAAAAUGUCUUCAUGCUGUUAUAAAGUAGUACCUAUACGAACAUCCAGGGAAGAAAAUCUUAACCCACACCAAAGUAGAGACACUGAGUCUUUUAGCCAUAACACAGGGAAAUAUCAAUAUUAAUCAUUUGUACUAUUAAUUAAUAAAAUGAAAAUAAGAAUAAAA